GGAAGUAAAAGGUAACAAGGGCUCCGUAGAUGAACCUGCGGAGGGAUCAUUACAGAGUUCAUGCCCUACCGGGUAGAUCUCCCACCCUAUGUUAUUAUUACUUUGUUGCUUUGGCGGGCCGUUAGGCUCCGGCCCGACUACCGGCCCCGGCUGGUAAGCGCCCGCCAGAGGACCCAAAACCCUGAGUAUUAGCGUCGUCUGAGUACUAUAUAAUAGUUAAAACUUUCAACAACGGAUCUCUUGGUUCUG
This 249-nucleotide unclassified non-coding RNA is filed under the name plant metagenome. Its description in RNAcentral is "partial contains small subunit ribosomal RNA, internal transcribed spacer 1, and 5.8S ribosomal RNA". The record is from RNAcentral.